RNAcentral lists this transfer RNA (69 nucleotides) under Loxodonta africana (African savanna elephant). It matches the Rfam family "tRNA". From Rfam's summary of the family: Transfer RNA (tRNA) molecules are approximately 80 nucleotides in length. Their secondary structure includes four short double-helical elements and three loops (D, anti-codon, and T loops). Further hydrogen bonds mediate the characteristic L-shaped molecular structure. tRNAs have two regions of fundamental functional importance: the anti-codon, which is responsible for specific mRNA codon recognition, and the 3' end, to which the tRNAs corresponding amino acid is attached (by aminoacyl-tRNA synthetases). tRNAs cope with the degeneracy of the genetic code in two manners: having more than one tRNA (with a specific anti-codon) for a particular amino acid; and 'wobble' base-pairing, i.e. permitting non-standard base-pairing at the 3rd anti-codon position. Lineage: Eukaryota; Metazoa; Chordata; Mammalia; Proboscidea; Elephantidae. The record is from Rfam by way of RNAcentral.
GCAGUGGUGGUUCAGGGUAGAAUUCUCACCUUCCGUGUAGGAGACCUGGAUUUGAUUCCAGCCAACGCA